This 477-nucleotide unclassified non-coding RNA is filed under the name Ptilothrix deusta. Its description in RNAcentral is "partial external transcribed spacer 1". The record is from RNAcentral. Lineage: Eukaryota; Viridiplantae; Streptophyta; Magnoliopsida; Poales; Cyperaceae.
CGCGCUUCGGCGCGGCCAGCCGUCGUGGGGCGGUCUCUUCACUUUUCCUUCCGCCGCCCUCUCGGCGCCGGGACGGAGCACUAGCUGCGGGCUGUUGUGCGGUUCUACCCUCGCAGGGUACGAGUUUCGGCUUCCAGAUGGUUUCGGCUUUGCUCCGCCGAUACUUGUCGGCGGCGCAGCUGCUGUUUCCGGCUAAAUCAGUGUGCGACGGUUGCGGAUGCCCUGCCGCGCCGCACUCGGAUUUUGUGCCGUGCUCUCACGGAUGCGGUGCUCCAUUUGCGGUUCUGCGGGUCGUAGUUCCCCAGAACGCUUCGGGUUGUCCCGCGUGCAAAGCCGUCGCGGUCCCUUUUGCGUGCGUGAUGUCCCAUCCGACCGAACGAGCGAUUGCCGGCGCGCGUCCGACCGGUCUGCCCUUUGGGUGUUCCGGGGCGGCGCGCUGGCUCUCGUCUGAGGACGUGCUACCUGGUUGAUCCUGCA